Molecule: long non-coding RNA, 1320 nt
Organism: Panthera uncia (snow leopard)
Lineage: Eukaryota; Metazoa; Chordata; Mammalia; Carnivora; Felidae
Exons: 5
Source: RefSeq, a predicted model, not a curated record
GUCAGUGAAGUCACAAAGUCUGCGACACGCCCCUCACUUAUCCCAUUCGGUGACGUCACAAAGUCUGCGACACGCCCCUUCCGUGAUCCCUCACACAGGCAUUUUAUCAUCUCACAUCAUCACAGGAGGGGUGAGUACAGUGAGACAAGAUGUUUUGAGAGCCAGAGACCACGUUCACAUAACUUUUAUUACAAUUUGAAGAUUGAAUUUGGUAGUCUUCUGACCAUGUUGCUGCCAUCCAUCACUCACAAAUCAACUCAUCAUGACCUGUAACCAGGAAUGAAGAGUUGCAAACUUGCCAACUAGCAAUGAAUUGAACUCAGUUGAACUCUGAUGCAGAAAAGAGAAAGAGAGACAGAGCAUGAGCGGGGCAGGGACAGAGAGAGAGGGAGACACAGAAUCUGAAGCAGGCUCCAGGCUCUGAGCUGUCAGCCCAGAGCCCAGUACAGGGCUCAAACCCACAAACUAUGAGAUCAUGACCCCAGGCCAAAGUCGGACACCUAACUUACUGAGCCAUCCAGAUAAGUGGAAGAGUCAAAUGACCAGACUGAGGUUUAUUUGGAGAGAAAGCAAGAAGGGAAGGGGCAGAGAGAGGAAGAGACAGAAUCCCAAGGAGUCUCUCCACAGUCUCUGCAGAGCUCAGUCGUGGGGCUUGAACUCACAAACCCAUGAGAUCAUGACAUGAGCUGAGAUUGAGAUCCGAAAGCUUAGCCAACUAAGCCACCCAGGCACCCCUCAACAUUGAUCUUUUGAAUUGCUCACUUUGGAUGAAACCAGUUGCUAUGCUGUGGUCAAGCAGUUCUAUGAAAAGGAACUGAGAUCUCCCAUGAAGAGCCAGCACCAACCAAAUGAACACCUUGGAAGUGGAUUUGCAACCAGAGUCAAGCCUUCAGAUGACGUCAGCCCCAAAUGUGGACAUCUGACAGUAACUUCACGAGAGACCCCAAGCCAGAACUGCCCAGCCAAGCCACACCUAAAUUCCUGACCCACAGAAAUACAUGCGAGAAUAAAUGAUUACAGUUGUGUUAAGCCACUAAAUUUUGAAGCAAUUUAAUAUGUAGAAAUAGAUCAUUUAUACAAUUGGGAUCAGAACUCAGAUUUGUCUGACCUGAGAACCAUAUCUCUUAUUAUUUUUUUCCCCCUUACUACCUAUGUUAUAAAAUAGCUUGUCUUGCUGAGUGUGACUCAAACAGUAGCCCCAGGAGUAAAGUAUGGAAUCCAGGAGAGUAUUUGAUUCUAAAACCACACAAUAUGCCCCAGUUAGAAAGCUAACAAUUGUAGCUUCAACCUUCAACUCCAAAUAAAAGGUUGUUUUCCUAA